UUGCAACCAAAUUUUCAGAAAUCAUAAAGUGUAUAGUUAUUAUUGUAUAUACCAAAAAUGGAUUAAUGAAAAACAAUAAAAAGGGCAUUCACCUAGUUCAUCAACUGCAUUUCUGAAAUUGGCAACUUGUUUUAAAGACACUUUCGACGCUUCCUGUUGGCAGCGUUGAGCGUUGAGUACUUGAAGUGCUUUCGCUGCACUUUAGUUGCAUUGUUGUUGUUGUGCGCAACGCGCACGCUGCACGCUUCAUAACAAACCAACACAUACAGAAGAACAACAACACAUCCAUAGAAAUAUUUAAUUCACAAAAGACUUUCAAGCUGUUAUUUAAUUGUUGAUAUGGCAAAAGAGGAGACAAAGUGUUGGUCUGUGUGAAAAUUGUUGAUCGAAUUCCUGGAAUUAGCAGCAAACAAAAACAGAACGGAAGCAUUUUGGCAACGUCGUCAGUUGGUUGGACAAUGUUUGCUGUUGUUGCUGUUGUUAUUGCAUUGUCGUUAUCAAUAUGCAUUUGAAUUUGAGCUGACCCAAUUUGUCAGCGCUUUGCGCUCAAGUGCAGCGGAUAUUCCAACAAUUGUGUUACAAAACCGAAAACGAAUCAAAUAUGAAAACCGCAUAACCUGAGACGCGUUGGCGCGUCAACUUUAGAGUUUGACGCGUGCCCGAGCUGCAUGACUCUCGAAAAUAUAUAGUUUUCUCUCUUUUCAUGCUACUUUUUUUUUUGCACGUCCAUUCGUCGCAUCGGCCCACACACACGGGCAUGGACUUAAUUUACACUUUUGUGCUG
Drosophila sulfurigaster albostrigata is the source of this 784-nucleotide long non-coding RNA. RefSeq lists it as uncharacterized. The record is from RefSeq and is a predicted model, not a curated record. The transcript is spliced from 3 exons. NCBI's taxonomy places the organism in Eukaryota, Metazoa, Arthropoda, Insecta, Diptera, Drosophilidae.